GUUGUGGGUAACGCGGACGUGGAAGAACCUCGUCUGCGGAGGAAAAGGUAGAUGUUAAAUGGUAACUACGCGCGAGGUUCUGAGGAGCCCUGGGAACAGGAAGGAGAAAAGAAUACCAAAAGUGACAACAGUUUGCCAAUCGCAGUCUUUAAUCUGAUAAAGCGGUUAUCUCGUCUUGAGUCCCAGGUGCCGAGUCAAUCCCCAUACACAGCCGCCGCCAUUGCCUCGAGUCCUUGUGUCUGACUGUCUGUUCCUGCUGCUGUAUGACACAGCACCUCGAGGCAAGGAAAUAAGAAAACUGCCUCUGAUCCAAGCAGAGAAGAACUCCUGUAGCCUGUAAUACCAGCUGUGGGUACUACUCUCAGUGUUGGAGAUCAUCAAAAUACAAUUGGACCAGACCCUUUGGAAAUAAUUCUGUGUCUCAAAUGCCCUGUGGAGCACACACUUAAUCAGUUGAUGGCUAUGGAAUUUUCCAACAUCAGCUAAAGAGAAGGCAAUGAAUGACACUUCCUGUUGCCUCAUAUCCUCACCAGUAUUUGGCACUGAUAGAGUGGUGACUUCCAAGCUUCAUGCAGAACCGGACAACAGAAAUUGAGAGGGAAAUUUCUAUGACAGAAGAGAGAAAGAAGAAAAUUGCUGGAAUAAUGACCUUGAAUAGAGGAAAUGGGAUAUCAUCUGGUAAGCAAAUAGAGAAGCUGGCUUUAGAUAAGAGCCUGGACAAUUCAUUCAUAGAAUAGCAGAAAAGGCAGAAUUUAUGUCCAUAGAUGCA
This 769-nucleotide long non-coding RNA is filed under the name Homo sapiens (human). RNAcentral describes it as "non-protein coding LINC00630:30". The record is from RNAcentral. Lineage: Eukaryota; Metazoa; Chordata; Mammalia; Primates; Hominidae.